This 468-nucleotide ribosomal RNA is filed under the name uncultured bacterium. Its description in RNAcentral is "partial 16S ribosomal RNA". It matches the Rfam family "Bacterial small subunit ribosomal RNA", at positions 28 to 507 of the family's 1533-position model. The record is from RNAcentral.
GACGAACGCUGGCGGCGUGCUUAACACAUGCAAGUCGAACGGAAAGGCCCUGCUUUUGUGGGGUGCUCGAGUGGCGAACGGGUGAGUAACACGUGAGUAACCUGCCCUUGACUUUGGGAUAACUUCAGGAAACUGGGGCUAAUACCGGAUAGGAGCUCCUGCUGCAUGGUGGGGGUUGGAAAGUUUCGGCGGUUGGGGAUGGACUCGCGGCUUAUCAGCUUGUUGGUGGGGUAGCGGCUUACCAAGGCUUUGACGGGUAGCCGGCCUGAGAGGGUGACCGGCGACCUUGGGACUGCGGUACGGCCCAGAGUCGUACGGGGGGCAGCAGUGGGGAAUAUUGCCCAAUGGGCGGAAGCCUGAUGCGGCGGCGCCGCGUGCGGGAUGACGGCCUUCGGGUUGUAAACCGCUUUCGCCUGUGACGAAGCGUGAGUGACGGUAAUGGGUAAAGAAGCACCGGCUAACUACGUG